UGUCGUCAGCUCGUGUUGUGAAAUGUUGGGUUAAGUCCCGCAACGAGCGCAACCCUUAUCCUUUGUUGCCAGCGAUUAGGUCGGGAACUCAAAGGAGACUGCCAGUGAUAAACUGGAGGAAGGUGGGGAUGACGUCAAGUCAUCAUGGCCCUUACGACCAGGGCUACACACGUGCUACAAUGGCGCAUACAAAGAGAAGCGACCUCGCGAGAGCAAGCGGACCUCAUAAAGUGCGUCGUAGUCCGGAUUGGAGUCUGCAACUCGACUCCAUGAAGUCGGAAUCGCUAGUAAUCGUGGAUCAGAAUGCCACGGUGAAUACGUUCCCGGGCCUUGUACACACCGCCCGUCACACCAUGGGAGUGGGUUGCAAAAGAAGUAGGUAGCUUAACCUUCGGGAGGGCGCUUACCACUUUGUGAUUCAUGACUGGGGUGAAGUCGUAACAAGGUAACCGUAGGGGAACCUGCG
This 466-nucleotide ribosomal RNA is filed under the name Salmonella enterica subsp. enterica serovar Stanley. Its description in RNAcentral is "bacterial SSU rRNA". It matches the Rfam family "Bacterial small subunit ribosomal RNA", at positions 1050 to 1516 of the family's 1533-position model. The record is from RNAcentral. Lineage: Bacteria; Pseudomonadati; Pseudomonadota; Gammaproteobacteria; Enterobacterales; Enterobacteriaceae.